This 101-nucleotide unclassified non-coding RNA is filed under the name uncultured fungus. Its description in RNAcentral is "sequence contains ITS1". It matches the Rfam family "5.8S ribosomal RNA", at positions 50 to 141 of the family's 154-position model. From Rfam's summary of the family: 5.8S ribosomal RNA (5.8S rRNA) is a component of the large subunit of the eukaryotic ribosome. It is transcribed by RNA polymerase I as part of the 45S precursor that also contains 18S and 28S rRNA. The record is from RNAcentral. Lineage: Eukaryota; Fungi.
GAAAUGCGAUACUUGGUGUGAAUUGCAGAAUCCCGUGAACCAUCGAGUCUUUGAACGCAAGUUGCGCCCUACGUAUUACCGCGGCGGCUGGCACACCGAUU